Molecule: long non-coding RNA, 488 nt
Organism: Trematomus bernacchii (emerald rockcod)
Lineage: Eukaryota; Metazoa; Chordata; Actinopteri; Perciformes; Nototheniidae
Exons: 3
Source: RefSeq, a predicted model, not a curated record
GCCCAGCGAACAAGUUAUUUGUCCCCUACCUCUAGCUGUUUCUGAAAUGUUUGCAAUCUCUAAUGGUGGAGAAGAAAGAGUAGAGACACUCCAGGAGAUCAACGCAGGAAAGUAGUCACCAACUGUGAGUGAUCUGUUGCCGAGGGGACACUACACCGGAGUUACAUAAGCAGAGGUGGAAGUGUUAGGCUAAAUCGCCUUGGUUUGACCUUCGCAAAUCGGUCGACGACCUCCCCAUGGGCCACAUUAGCCAAGACCUCCUUCUCAAUGGAAAUGAUGGCCAAAUGACUAAGCCUCACCUGGCCCAUUGUACUUCUCAGCCAAGUGUGUAGCCUUCGCAAGGCACUGAAGGACCUUUCACAACUGCAGCUGGUGACUGGGAUUGUCAAAGCAGCUUGGAAGAUGGCCUUAAGAGAGGGGAACAUAUCCUCAUCCAAAAGGCAAAAUACACUUUGGAUACUUGGCAUGUCUUUCUCUAUCCUGGCAAG